CCUACGGGAGGCAGCAGUAGGGAAUCUUCCGCAAUGGACGAAAGUCUGACGGAGCAACGCCGCGUGAGUGAUGAAGGUUUUCGGAUCGUAAAACUCUGUUGUUAGGGAAGAACAAGUACGAGAGUAACUGCUCGUACCUUGACGGUACCUAACCAGAAAGCCACGGCUAACUACGUGCCAGCAGCCGCGGUAAUACGUAGGUGGCAAGCGUUGUCCGGAAUUAUUGGGCGUAAAGCGCGCGCAGGCGGUCUCUUAAGUCUGAUGUGAAAGCCCACGGCUCAACCGUGGAGGGUCAUUGGAAACUGGGAGACUUGAGUGCAGAAGAGAAGAGUGGAAUUCCACGUGUAGCGGUGAAAUGCGUAGAGAUGUGGAGGAACACCAGUGGCGAAGGCGACUCUUUGGUCUGUAACUGACGCUGAGGCGCGAAAGCGUGGGGAGCAAACAGGAUUAGAUACCCUGGUAGUCCACGCCGUAAACGAUGAGUGCUAAGUGUUAGAGGGUUUCCGCCCUUUAGUGCUGCAGCAAACGCAUUAAGCACUCCGCCUGGGGAGUACGGCCGCCAAGGCUGAAACUCAAAGGAAUUGACGG
This 588-nucleotide ribosomal RNA is filed under the name uncultured bacterium. RNAcentral's name for it is "bacterial SSU rRNA". It matches the Rfam family "Bacterial small subunit ribosomal RNA", at positions 338 to 916 of the family's 1533-position model. The record is from RNAcentral.